Molecule: ribosomal RNA, 448 nt
Filed under: uncultured bacterium
Lineage: Bacteria
Description: bacterial SSU rRNA
Rfam family: Bacterial small subunit ribosomal RNA
Source: RNAcentral
UGGGGAAUAUUGGACAAUGGGCGCAAGCCUGAUCCAGCCAUGCCGCGUGAGUGAUGAAGGCCUUAGGGUUGUAAAGCUCUUUUUGCCGGGGACGAUAAUGACGGUACCCGGAGAAUAAGUCCCGGCUAACUUCGUGCCAGCAGCCGCGGUAAUACGAAGGGGACUAGCGUUGUUCGGAAUCACUGGGCGUAAAGCGCACGUAGGCGGAUUUGUAAGUCAGGGGUGAAAUCCCGGGGCUCAACCUCGGAACUGCCUUUGAUACUGCGGAUCUCGAGUCCGAUAGAGGUGAGUGGAAUUCCUAGUGUAGAGGUGAAAUUCGUAGAUAUUAGGAAGAACACCGGUGGCGAAGGCGGCUCACUGGAUCGGUACUGACGCUGAGGUGCGAAAGCGUGGGGAGCAAACAGGAUUAGAUACCCUAGUAGUCCCUGAGCGGGCUGGCAAGGCGCAU